This is a long non-coding RNA of Passer domesticus (house sparrow), 2662 nucleotides long. RefSeq lists it as uncharacterized. The transcript has 7 exons. NCBI's taxonomy places the organism in Eukaryota, Metazoa, Chordata, Aves, Passeriformes, Passeridae. The record is from RefSeq and is a predicted model, not a curated record.
GGCUCGGCUCGGCUCGGCUCGGCUCGGCGCGGCUCGGCUCGGCUCGGCUCGGCUCGGCUCCCUGAGGCGGCGCGGGCCGGGCCGAGGCGCUGCCGGGCAAGCGGCGCCGCCUCACGCUGAACACGCCCAGCUCCGGGUUCUGCUGCUGCCGCGGCCCGGCCCUCGCACGGACACGGACGGGAGCGCGGGUCGGGCAGGAGAUCAUUAGGCUGUGACUGCAGUCGCGCUAAUCAAUGGGCACGAGAGCAGCAGCCAGGGUUCGGCCGAGCUCGGCUCGGUUCGGCCGGACUCGGAGCCGCUCGCUGUAUUCGAAGCUCAGCUCGGUUCAGUUCGACCGACCUCGUAAAGUUCACUUUGGUUCGGCCGAUCUCGCGUUGGUUCGGCUUGUUUAGUUCGGUUCGGCUUGUUUAGUUCGGUUCGGCUUGUUUAGUUCGGUUCGGCUGAACGCCGUUCCGUUCGGUUCCGUUCCGUUAACCUCGAUUCGGCAAAUCUCGGCCAGGUUCGGCCCUUCGGGAACGCUCGUGCAUUGUCGGCUGCACUCGGCCGGACUCGGCUCUUCGGCCGGAGAGGAGCGCUGCGGUGCAAUGGCGCCCGUGGCCGGAGCUCGCUGCGCAGCCUGGGCUCCGUGAGGGCGCGGAGGGCCGGAGCAGCCGCCCCGUCCGCCUCACCCGGUCCCUUGCGCACCGCAGCUCGCCCUGCAGCGCCCUGCGGCCGUCGCCCUGCCGUGCCGUGCCGUGCCCGGGCGCGGUGCUGAGGUGAGGGCCGGAGCGCGGGACGCGUUCGUGCCGGCCCCGCGGCUCCGGGAUCUGCUCCGUGGGAUGAAGGCCCUGCCCGCCCCGCUGCGGUGCCAGCGCUUUGCAGCGUGAGAAACGAAGUUCGCUCUUGGGAAUUUUUAAAGGGCAGUGUCUGACCCCAGCUCCGGGGGCUGUGUGGGGAUUCCUCCCUGGAGCAGGGUCACCCCCUGAGGAUGAGCCACGGAGUCGCUGGAGCAGGACAGGAGAAUUCAUCAAACUCCUCCCAUCUUUGCCAAAAGCUUUGGUGUCUAAGCAGCCAAAGCCCAGAGGCUUCAGCACCAGGGGUCGGCGCUGGAGGGCUCCUGGUCCUGCCCACGCUGUGGGGCUGCCUGUGCUGGAGCACCCUGGUCCCUGCCGUGCCCAACGCCUGAGACACAGAGAGCCCUGUCCAAAGUGGCCUUUGCCACCUUGUCAGGAAUUUGGCAGCAGCCCCAGGAGCAGGCUGGAGGAGAAAACCUCACAGCAGAGGCAGUUUGCAAUGGAGGCCAGAGUUGUGUUUGGAGCAGAGAAUGCUGAGAGCUGCAUCUGCCUGUGCUGCCACAGCCUGACAACAGCCACACGGAACAGCCUGGGAAAAGGGGACGGGGAAUUUCUGAUUCCCCAGGGAGAAGAACAGGAACUCACAGCCAUUGGGGCCUGACAGUCCCCUCCAGCCAGAGCUCAGCACACAUCCACAGAGGGAAGGGAGAAGAGGAUCCCUGUGGGAUGAGACUGGAGAGAGCGAGCAGAGGAGCGGCCUCGAGCUGGAGCAAGGCAAAGGGACCUCCCUGUGGGCAAAGGGACACAGUGCUGUCACCAGGGCACCUGUGAGGGACAGGACAGACACUUGGAGGUCACACAGAGGAAGGAGAUCCAUGUCCCUGUCUCCAGUGCACCUCCAGUGGGACCCACCUGUGAAAGCUUUCCACCACUUCUGCACCUGCACUUCAGCUGGCUCCCUGGAAAACUCCAAACGGCAUCCCACUCCAUCCUCUGAUUUUCAGGUAUCUCUGAGGGCUAUUGCUUGGAAUUUAAUAUCUGUGGGGGAAGAUUGCCUUGGCUUUAAUGCUGCUGAUAGAGAAUGGCCCCAGGCUGGAAAGGAGGAAAGGGAUUUGGGGUGGCUGGGACAUACCUGGCAGCUGUGUGGGAGCUCUAAACCAGGAACUGCUGUCUGAGCCUCCAUUCCCAGGUAAUGCCAGCUGCUCCUUGGGGUCCUUCUGGGCUGCAGCACCUCCGUGUGCCUGGGCAGAGCAGCCACGGUGCAGGCAGUGCCCUGCAGAUCCCAAGGACAGGAGGUGCUGCUGCCUUUGGGGGCUUCUGGCCUCCCCCUGCCCUGAGGGAACGCCAGGGAACACUGCUGGCAGCGAGCAGGAGACGCCCAGGCCUCUGGGCUAGAAAAUCAGCCCUGGCCUCAGCAGCCUCCAUCGUUUUGGCCUGGCAGCACUCACCUGCAGGAAACGCUCUCUGCCAUUCUCCAGAGGAACUUCAGCCAUGGAACAAGGUAACCCUCAGGACUUGUUUCUCCCUGCAAAGGGACGUGGCAUGAGCACACUUACAGCUGGGUGAAUCCUGGAAAGGACAGAAGGAUCAGGGUUAUGGGGAAGAGUGUGGUGCUGUCAUGUCAGGUGCCAGCAGUUCUGCCUGCAGCCAUCGCAGGGGCUGGCAUGUAAAGCAGUGUUAGCAGAAGGGAAGGAACUGCAUUUCUUUAGGAGUUCUCUUACUGGCAGCAGUCAUUCAUCGUGAUCCUGGGAUUGGCUCAGGUGCUUGGAGCAGGCUGCUGAGAAGACCAAAAUUCUGUGUUCCACGUGCAGCUGGGCCAGUCAUUGCUCAGUGAUGAUCCUCAUGGCUCUGGAAAUAAAGAAUAAAUAGUUUUCACUGGCUUUUCCACA